GCCGGACGCGGUGGCGCGCGCCUGUAGUCCCAGCUACUCGGGAGGCUGAGAUGGGAGGAUCGCUUGAGCCCAGGAGUUCUGGGCUGUAGUGCGCUAUGCCGAUCGGGUGUCCGCACUAAGUUCGGCAUCAAUAUGGUGACCUCCCGGGAGCGGGGGACCACCAGGUUGCCUAAGGAGGGGUGAACCGGCCCAGGUCGGAAACGGAGCAGGUCAAAACUCCCGUGCUGAUCAGUAGUGGGAUCGCGCCUGUGAAUAGCCACUGCACCCCAGCCUGGGCAACAUAGCGAGACCCCGUCUCU
Molecule: signal recognition particle RNA, 299 nt
Filed under: Microcebus murinus (gray mouse lemur)
Lineage: Eukaryota; Metazoa; Chordata; Mammalia; Primates; Cheirogaleidae
Description: Metazoan signal recognition particle RNA (ENSMICG00000042941.1)
Rfam family: Metazoan signal recognition particle RNA
About the family: The signal recognition particle (SRP) is a universally conserved ribonucleoprotein. It is involved in the co-translational targeting of proteins to membranes.
Source: RNAcentral